AUCUGCAGUCGAGGGGCAGCGGGGUAGCAAUACCGCCGGCGACCGGCAAACGGGUGCGGAACACGUACGCAACCUUCCUUCAAGAGAUGGAUAGCCCGAAGAAAUUCGGAUUAAUACAUCGUAAAAUCACAGAGUGGCAUCACUUCAUGAUUAAAGAAUUUCGCUUGAAGAUGGGCGUGCGCCUGAUUAGGUAGUUGGUGAGGUAACGGCUCACCAAGCCGACGAUCAGUAACUGGCGUGAGAGCGCGACCAGUCACACGGGCACUGAGACACGGGCCCGACACCUACGGGAGGCAGCAGUAAGGAAUAUUGGUCAAUGGACGCAAGUCUGAACCAGCCAUGCCGCGUGAAGGAUAAAGGCCCUCUGGGUCGUAAACUUCUUUUAUCUGGGACGAAAUCACUUUUUUCUAAGAGUGUUGACGGUACCAGAGGAAUAAGCACCGGCUAACUCCGUGCCAGCAGCCGCGGUAAUACGGAGGGUGCAAGCGUUAUCCGGAUUCACUGGGUUUAAAGGGUGCGUAGGCGGAUUUGUAAGUCCGUGGUGAAAUCUCCAGGCUUAACCUGGAAACUGCCAUGGAUACUAUAAAUCUUGAAUGUUGUGGAGGUUAGCGGAAUAUGUCAUGUAGCGGUGAAAUGCAUAGAUAUGACAUAGAACACCAAUUGCGAAGGCAGCUGGCUACACAAAUAUUGACGCUGAGGCACGAAAGCGUGGGGAUCAAACAGGAUUAGAUACCCUGGUAGUCCACGCCCUAAACGAUGAUUACUCGACAUUUGUGAUACACAAUAAGUGUCUGAGCGAAAAGCAUUAAGUAAUCCACCUGGGAAGUACGACCGCAAGGUUGAAACUCAA
This 850-nucleotide ribosomal RNA is filed under the name uncultured bacterium. RNAcentral's name for it is "bacterial SSU rRNA". It matches the Rfam family "Bacterial small subunit ribosomal RNA", at positions 53 to 904 of the family's 1533-position model. The record is from RNAcentral.